AGUAGUGAGAGACAAUCCCUUGAGUUAUCUUUUCCCCCAAGAGAUCCAAAACUGCCUGACCUAGCCUAUCAGUUUCCACAGCUUUCAGUUCUCUCUCACACACACCCUCCAAACUGCUCUUUCCUCUCCAAACUCCAAAACCGAACUGCUCUCUUCAAACCCUAAAACAGCACUCUCUGGACCUCUUUUUUCUCUCUGCACUCUAGGACUUGGCUCCUCCCAUCUGCUCUGGCUGGCCAAUCCUAGGAGUCUCUCUCUAAGUUCCUCCCCCUUUCUAACCACACUCAAGAUGGCUGCCUGGCAUUCCUCAACAAAAUGAAUGUCUGCCUCACUCACUGUUACCAAGGCUUCAUUCCAGGUCUAACAGGGAUGUGAAGGAAUUACUCUGCCAACCUCAGAUGGAGACAGAAUGAAAGAGUACCUUAGAGUUGUAGCUAAAAUGCAGAUAAAGAAGACAUCCCCCUAUGUAAAAAAGCUUCCUGUGUUUCCUCGUCUCUGCCAUCUCCUCUAAUGCACAAAAACAGGAUUUGAGUUUUUUGAGAAGUCUCCUGCAGCUAAUCCAUUGCUUCAAAGUCAUUAAAAAGUGGGAUAUCACAGACAUCACUAUGGUGAUAAGUCAGUCAGAUGCAUAAGAAAAGCAAGCUAGUGCAUUUGGAAAGAAUUUUAUACUUGAGGAAAAUUGUGUUUCAAACGUUGAAGUACUAUGUUUUUUUCCAGCAACAAAAUCCUAAAAGCACCCUUUCUUCACCGUAACAGUGCCUUGUGUGGGGUGCACCAUUUUGUACUCCAGCUUCCUCUUCUGGCGAGAGACAAACUCAGAAACGACUGAAUCAGCAACUAUGGGAAAUGGGAGCACAUUCCUCAAAUAAUCUUCACAGUUCAGUCAUAUAAUGAUACAGGGAUCAGAAUCCUGUUGCUGGGUUGUGCCAAUGUGAUACUGGCACAAGGGGCUUUUCACAAUAGUGUGUAUGGGGAUGGUUCGCUAUCUUGGCAGGGGGUUGGACUGGGUGGCCCGUGAGGUCUCUUCCAACUCUAUGAUUCUAUGAUUAAGGUACAGUACUUAUAUUGAACUGAGGAUAAGUCAGCCCAGGGUUUUAGAUUAAUUUUUUAAGACUAAAAUUUCUCAACCUAUGCAUGAAUAAAGGGUAAAUGUAAGGAACCGUCUAACCAGAAGCAGCCUAGAAGUCUUAAGAGUUCAGACUACACUUCCAUAGUCACUAAAGCAAACAGAAGUCUGUUAGCACUUUAAAGACUAACAAAUAUUAUUUGGCAUAAGCUUCUGUGGACUGGAACACACUUAGUCAGAUCCAUGGCACAUUGCCUCACUUGGCAGAGUAUUAUGCACCUGUUUGAAUGAGUGUGUGGGGGUUUGUAACCAGUGGAGUCAAAGGGAAAUGAAAUACAAAGCUACGGUGAUCUUUAUCUCAAGAGAGACUCUUAACUCACUGGCCAAGAUCCUAUUUUGCCCAGUAUCAUGUAAGAAUUCAGCAGGGGGAACUCCACCCUGGCUCCUUGCUCACUGCUACCCAGAACACACGGUUUUGCCUUUCUUUGAGUGGUGGAGUGAGUUAGGAUGGAACAGAGACGCAUCAGGUUAUGUCCUGGAGCCAGACGCAGGCUCAUAACAUCUUUUACAAUAUCUGCCAGGAUGUCAGCAGAGCACAUCAUCAGUCUGUGUCUGGCUACAGGGACACAGCCAGACACUUCUCUGUUCACAUACACCGUCUCCAUUGGCCAUGGAACAGCUGUUCGUGGAGACUAUUGCAGCAAAACUAUUGAGGUACCUUUGGUCAUUGCAAACAAUGGAAGAGGAAAUAAUUAAAUAUACGCAGGUGUAAUGUGAAGUUAUGCUUGUAUAUGCACUAAUAGGAUGUCAGCCAUGGCUUGUUAAUGACCAUUAAAAGAUUCACUGUUUGUACUUCUA
Anolis carolinensis (green anole) is the source of this 1924-nucleotide long non-coding RNA. RefSeq lists it as uncharacterized. The transcript is spliced from 3 exons. The record is from RefSeq and is a predicted model, not a curated record. Lineage: Eukaryota; Metazoa; Chordata; Lepidosauria; Squamata; Anolidae.